GCGACUGUAGCUCAGUUGGCAGAGCACCUAGAUUCUUACUAGGAAGCCGUGGGUUAAAAUCCUGCCAGUCGUC
RNAcentral lists this transfer RNA (73 nucleotides) under Candidatus Tremblayella princeps. RNAcentral describes it as "Candidatus Tremblaya princeps tRNA-Arg(TCT)". It matches the Rfam family "tRNA". From Rfam's summary of the family: Transfer RNA (tRNA) molecules are approximately 80 nucleotides in length. Their secondary structure includes four short double-helical elements and three loops (D, anti-codon, and T loops). Lineage: Bacteria; Pseudomonadati; Pseudomonadota; Betaproteobacteria. The record is from RNAcentral.